AGCAGCCGCGGUAAUUCCAGCUCCAAUAGCGUAUAUUAAAGUUGUUGCAGUUAAAAAGCUCGUAGUUGAACUUCGGGGUCUACCCAUUGGUCAGGCUUAAUUGUCUGCACUGGUGAGAUGGAUCUCUACCUACUGAGGAACUUUCAUGCCAUUUAUUUGGUGUGGUUGGAAAUCAGGACUGUUACUUUGAAAAAAUUAGAGUGUUUAAAGCAGACUAUCGUCUGAAUACAUUAGCAUGGAAUAAUGAAAUAGGACGGACUGAUUCUAUUUCGUUGGUUUCUAGGAUCACCGUAAUGAUUAAUAGGGAUAGUUGGGGGCAUUAGUAUUCAAUUGUCAGAGGUGAAAUUCUUGGAUUUAUUGAAGACUAACUACUGCGAAAGCAUUUGCCAAGGAUGUUUUCAUUAAUCAAGAACGAAAGUUAGGGGAUCGAAGACGAUCAGAUACCGUCGUAGUCUUAACCAUAAACUAUGCCGACUAGGGAUCGGACGAAGU
This 492-nucleotide ribosomal RNA is filed under the name uncultured Glomeromycotina. RNAcentral's name for it is "SSU rRNA". It matches the Rfam family "Eukaryotic small subunit ribosomal RNA", at positions 569 to 1063 of the family's 1831-position model. The record is from RNAcentral. Lineage: Eukaryota; Fungi; Glomeromycota.